CAAAGAGAAGCAAGACCGUGAGGUGGAGCAAAACUCAAAAACUUGUCUCAGUUCGGAUUGUAGUCUGCAACCCGACUACAUGAAGCUGGAAUCGCUAGUAAUCGCGAAUCAGAAUGUCGCGGUGAAUACGUUCCCGGGUCUUGUACACACCGCCCGUCACACCAUGGGAGUCGGAAGUGCCCGAAGUCAGUGACCCAACCGUAAGGAGGGAGCUGCCGAAGGUGGAGCCGGUAACUGGGGUGAAGUCGUAACAAGGUACC
RNAcentral lists this ribosomal RNA (260 nucleotides) under uncultured bacterium. Its description in RNAcentral is "partial 16S ribosomal RNA". It matches the Rfam family "Bacterial small subunit ribosomal RNA", at positions 1240 to 1500 of the family's 1533-position model. The record is from RNAcentral.